This 482-nucleotide ribosomal RNA is filed under the name uncultured bacterium. RNAcentral's name for it is "partial 16S ribosomal RNA". It matches the Rfam family "Bacterial small subunit ribosomal RNA", at positions 30 to 507 of the family's 1533-position model. The record is from RNAcentral.
AUUGAACGCUGGCGGCAUGCCUUACACAUGCAAGUCGAACGGUAACAGGUCUUCGGAUGCUGACGAGUGGCGAACGGGUGAGUAAUACAUCGGAACGUGCCCAGACGUGGGGGAUAACGAGGCGAAAGCUUUGCUAAUACCGCAUACGAUCUAAGGAUGAAAGCAGGGGACCGCAAGGCCUUGUGCGUUUGGAGCGGCCGAUGGCAGAUUAGGUAGUUGGUGGGAUAAAAGCUUACCAAGCCGACGAUCUGUAGCUGGUCUGAGAGGACGACCAGCCACACUGGGACUGAGACACGGCCCAGACUCCUACGGGAGGCAGCAGUGGGGAAUUUUGGACAAUGGGCGAAAGCCUGAUCCAGCAAUGCCGCGUGCAGGAUGAAGGCCUUCGGGUUGUAAACUGCUUUUGUACGGAACAAAAAGGCUCUGGCUAAUACCUGGGGCACAUGACGGUACCGUAAGAAUAAGCACCGGCUAACUACGUG